Molecule: ribosomal RNA, 465 nt
Filed under: uncultured bacterium
Lineage: Bacteria
Description: partial 16S ribosomal RNA
Rfam family: Bacterial small subunit ribosomal RNA
Source: RNAcentral
GAUGAACGCUGGCGGCGUGCUUAACACAUGCAAGUCGAACGGAAAGGCUCCUGCUUGCAGGGGUACUCGAGUGGCGAACGGGUGAGUAACACGUGGGUGAUCUGCCCUGCACUUCGGGAUAAGCCUGGGAAACUGGGUCUAAUACCGGAUAGGACGAUGGUUUGGAUGCCAUUGUGGAAAGUUUUUCGGUGUGGGAUGAGCUCGCGGCCUAUCAGCUUGUUGGUGGGGUAAUGGCCUACCAAGGCGUCGACGGGUAGCCGGCCUGAGAGGGUGUACGGCCACAUUGGGACUGAGAUACGGCCCAGACUCCUACGGGAGGCAGCAGGGGGGAAUAUUGCACAAUGGGCGCAAGCCUGAUGCAGCGACGCCGCGUGGGGGAUGACGGCCUUCGGGUUGUAAACUCCUUUCGCUAGGGACGAAGCGCAAGUGACGGUACCUGGAGAAGAAGCACCGGCUAACUACGUG